RNAcentral lists this transfer RNA (76 nucleotides) under Candidatus Stercoripulliclostridium pullicola. Its description in RNAcentral is "tRNA-Val". It matches the Rfam family "tRNA". Rfam says of the family: Transfer RNA (tRNA) molecules are approximately 80 nucleotides in length. Their secondary structure includes four short double-helical elements and three loops (D, anti-codon, and T loops). The record is from RNAcentral. Lineage: Bacteria; Bacillati; Bacillota; Clostridia; Eubacteriales.
GCGCAAUUGACUCAGUUGGUAGAGUGCCUCCGUCACAUGGAGGAAGUCAGGGGUUCGAGUCCCUUAUUGCGCACCA